AUUCCAUGAUGAAGGCACUUUCGAAUAACCCUUUGUACUUUUCCCAAGCCUCAUACAGAGACUCAUCAUCCAUUUGUUGGAAGGCAGUGAUCUCAUUCCUCAACUU
Molecule: small nucleolar RNA, 106 nt
Filed under: Gossypium hirsutum (cotton)
Lineage: Eukaryota; Viridiplantae; Streptophyta; Magnoliopsida; Malvales; Malvaceae
Description: Plant small nucleolar RNA R71
Rfam family: Plant small nucleolar RNA R71
About the family: R71 is a member of the C/D box family of snoRNAs containing the C (UGAUGA) and D (CUGA) box motifs. Multiple nearly identical copies of this snoRNA have been identified in Arabidopsis, and it is thought to function as a 2'-O-ribose methylation guide for 18S ribosomal RNA.
Source: Rfam by way of RNAcentral